Non-coding RNA from Spea bombifrons (plains spadefoot toad), 484 nucleotides. NCBI's taxonomy places the organism in Eukaryota, Metazoa, Chordata, Amphibia, Anura, Pelobatidae. The record is from the annotation of a RefSeq genome assembly.
CACUGCUUUAUUGAUUAUUCUACCUGUAGACAAUGAUUUUCUUGACUUGCCUUCUAACUCUGUUCCAUUAUGCAGAAAGCAAAUCUCAAGUUCAGCAACCAGCUGCGCUCACAUUUCUCAAGGGACAUCUUAUAGAAAUCCCCUGUAACCACUCAAUCACAACCUACGAUAAACUGCUCUGGUACAAAGCUCACAGUGAAAGGGGACUUGAAUACAUCAUAUCUGGCUAUGCAUCUGUAGAAGAAGAUGGACCAUUUAGCAUGACUUUCAAUAAAGAAAAGUUCCUCAUAACUCUUAUCAUCAAGGAUGUAAAGAUCUCUCGCAGUGGGACAUAUUACUGUGCUGUCAGUGACACAGUAGCAGAUGGCAGUAAGAUACAUGUCAAAAAGCACCUUCCACCUGACACACUGCUGCGAUUGUUUCUUUUCUUGGCUUAAUAUACAUAAGUCAAAGACAACUGUCAAUAAAGCAUAGCAAACUUUAA